AUUGAACGCUGGCGGAAUGCUUUACACAUGCAAGUCGAACGGCAGCACGGGGCAACCUGGUGGCGAGUGGCGAACGGGUGAGUAAUACAUCGGAACGUGCCCAAUCGUGGGGGGAUAACGUAGCGAAAGUUACGCUAAUACCGCAUACGAUCUACGGAUGAAAGCGGGGGAUCGCAAGACCUCGCGCGAGUGGAGCGGCCGAUGUCAGAUUAGGUAGUUGGUGGGGUAAAGGCUCACCAAGCCAACGAUCUGUAGCUGGUCUGAGAGGACGACCAGCCACACUGGAACUGAGACACGGUCCAGACUCCUACGGGAGGCAGCAGUGGGGAAUUUUGGACAAUGGGCGCAAGCCUGAUCCAGCCAUUCCGCGUGCAGGAUGAAGGCCUUCGGGUUGUAAACUGCUUUUGUACGGUAACGAAACGGCGAGCUCUAAUACAGUUUGCUAAUGACGGUACCGUAAGAAUAAGCACCGG
Molecule: ribosomal RNA, 473 nt
Filed under: uncultured bacterium
Lineage: Bacteria
Description: bacterial SSU rRNA
Rfam family: Bacterial small subunit ribosomal RNA
Source: RNAcentral